This is a long non-coding RNA of Sinocyclocheilus grahami, 496 nucleotides long. RefSeq lists it as uncharacterized. The transcript has 4 exons. Lineage: Eukaryota; Metazoa; Chordata; Actinopteri; Cypriniformes; Cyprinidae. The record is from RefSeq and is a predicted model, not a curated record.
GUUGUAUUUUUCUGUUCAAUUCCAUCCAUUUCUAUUCUGUUCUAUUCAGUUUCUGGUUUCAUUCUGCCGGUGGUUGAGAUCGCCUCGCUCUGCAAGACGGAGAUUCUGAAAUGUCUGCAGUACGAGGAGCUGGGCCGAAGCGUGUGAGUGAACUGCAGGCAGAGAUGAACGACUGGAUUCAGCGCGGAGAAAAACUGUUCACUCCAUUCAGGACAUCACAGCCGACUACUUCAGAGACCCGUCCAGAGCGCUCACAGGUAUGGUGAAACAGAUGGAACAGGAUCAGAAGAGAUUUGGCCACGCCUCUUGGGCAAUGGCCACGCCCAGACAAGAGAAACUCAGUCCUAUUGGAUAAAGAGACGCUGCCCUACAUGAGAGCAAAAGAGAUGUGCAUCAAACACAAGAGAGACGAGAUCCGAGAGAAGGAGUUGUGUGUUCAGGCUCACGAGCAGCAGCAGCGUUCAGUCGUGCAGAGAUCUAAGCAGCACUGCCAACA